GACGAACGCUGGCGGCGUGCUUAACACAUGCAAGUCGAACGGAAAGGCCCUGCUUUUGUGGGGUGCUCGAUUGGCGCACGGGUGAGUAUCACGUGUGUAACCUGCCCCUGUCUUUGGGAUAACUUCAGGAAACUGGGGCUCAUACCGGAUAUGAGCUCCUGCUGCAUGGUGGUGGUUGGUAAGUUUCGGCGGUUGGGGCUGGACUCGCGGCUUAUCAGCUUGUUGGUGGGGUAGUGGCUUACCAAGGCUUUGACGGGUAGCCGGCCUGAGAGGGUGACCGGCCACAAGGGGACUGAGAGACGGCCCAGACUGCUACGGGAGGCAGCAGGGGGGAAUAUGGCAGAAUGGGCGGAAGCCUGAUGCAGCAACCCCGCGUGCGGGAUGACGGCCUUCGGGUGGUAAACCGCUUUCGCCUGUGACGAAGAGUGAGUGACGGUAAUGGGUAAAGAAGCACCGGCUAACUACGUG
RNAcentral lists this ribosomal RNA (468 nucleotides) under uncultured bacterium. RNAcentral describes it as "partial 16S ribosomal RNA". It matches the Rfam family "Bacterial small subunit ribosomal RNA", at positions 28 to 507 of the family's 1533-position model. The record is from RNAcentral.